CAGUAGGGAGGAAGGUGGUAGUGUUAAUAGCGCUAUCAUUUGACGGUUACCUACAGAAGAAGCACCGGCUAACUCCGUGCCAGCAGCCGCGGUAAUACGGAGGGUGCGAGCGUUAAUCGGAAUUACUGGGCGUAAAGCGCAUGCAGGUGGUUUGUUAAGUCAGAUGUGAAAGACCCCGGGCUCAACCUGGGAAUUGCAUUUGUAAACUAGGCAAACUAGAGUACUGUAGAGGGGGGUAGGAAUUUCAGGUGUAGCGGUGAAAAUGCGUAGAGAUCUGAAGGAAUACCGGUGGCGAAGGCGGCCCCCUGGACAGAUACUGACACUCAGAUGCGAAAGCGUGGGGAGCAAACAGGAUUAGAUACCCUGGUAG
Molecule: ribosomal RNA, 370 nt
Filed under: uncultured bacterium
Lineage: Bacteria
Description: bacterial SSU rRNA
Rfam family: Bacterial small subunit ribosomal RNA
Source: RNAcentral